GCCGAUGUAGCUCAGUUGGUAGAGCAACUGAUUCGUAAUCAGGAGGUCGUCCGUUCGAUUCGGAUCUUCGGCA
Molecule: transfer RNA, 73 nt
Filed under: Gammaproteobacteria bacterium RIFCSPHIGHO2_12_FULL_38_14
Lineage: Bacteria; Pseudomonadati; Pseudomonadota; Gammaproteobacteria
Also listed under: 1 other name
Description: tRNA-Thr
Rfam family: tRNA
About the family: Transfer RNA (tRNA) molecules are approximately 80 nucleotides in length. Their secondary structure includes four short double-helical elements and three loops (D, anti-codon, and T loops). Further hydrogen bonds mediate the characteristic L-shaped molecular structure. tRNAs have two regions of fundamental functional importance: the anti-codon, which is responsible for specific mRNA codon recognition, and the 3' end, to which the tRNAs corresponding amino acid is attached (by aminoacyl-tRNA synthetases). tRNAs cope with the degeneracy of the genetic code in two manners: having more than one tRNA (with a specific anti-codon) for a particular amino acid; and 'wobble' base-pairing, i.e. permitting non-standard base-pairing at the 3rd anti-codon position.
Source: RNAcentral